Molecule: ribosomal RNA, 253 nt
Filed under: uncultured bacterium
Lineage: Bacteria
Description: partial 16S ribosomal RNA
Rfam family: Bacterial small subunit ribosomal RNA
Source: RNAcentral
UACGUAGGUGGCGAGCGUUGUCCGGAAUUAUUGGGCGUAAAGGGUGCGUAGGCGGCUUUUUAAGUGGGAUGUGAAACCCCCGGGCUUAACCUUGGGAUUGCAUUCCAAACUGGAGAGCUAGAGUGCAGGAGAGGAAAGUGGAAUUCCCAGUGUAGCGGUGAAAUGCGUAGAGAUUGGGAGGAACACCAGAGGCGAAGGCGGAUCACUGGACCGGAACUGACGCUAAGGCGCGAAAGCUAGGGGAGCAAACAGG